This 453-nucleotide ribosomal RNA is filed under the name uncultured bacterium. RNAcentral describes it as "bacterial SSU rRNA". It matches the Rfam family "Bacterial small subunit ribosomal RNA", at positions 29 to 524 of the family's 1533-position model. The record is from RNAcentral.
AACGAACGCUGGCGGCAGGCCUAACACAUGCAAGUCGAACGCUGUAGCAAUACAGAGUGGCAGACGGGUGAGUAACACGUGGGAACAUACCCUUAGGUUCGGAAUAGCUCAGGGAAACUUGAGGUAGUACCGGAUAAGCCCUUACGGGGAAAGAUUUAUCGCCAUUGGAUUGGCCCGCGUCUGAUUAGCUAGUUGGUGGGGUAAUGGCUCACCAAGGCGACGAUCAGUAGCUGGCUGAGAGGAUGACCAGCCACACUGGGACUGAGACACGGCCCAGACUCCUACGGGAGGCAGCAGUGGGGAAUAUUGGACAAUGGGCGAAAGCCUGAUCCAGCCAUGCCGCGUGAGUGAAGAAGGCCUUAGGGUUGUAAAGCUCUUUCAGCGGGGAAGAUAAUGACGGUACCCGCAGAAGAACGCCCCGGCUAACUCCGUGCCAGCAGCCGCCGCUGUAAU